This 2935-nucleotide ribosomal RNA is filed under the name Bacillus altitudinis. RNAcentral's name for it is "bacterial LSU rRNA". It matches the Rfam family "Bacterial large subunit ribosomal RNA". The record is from RNAcentral. Lineage: Bacteria; Bacillati; Bacillota; Bacilli; Caryophanales; Bacillaceae.
AUGGUUAAGUUAGAAAGGGCGCACGGUGGAUGCCUUGGCACUAGGAGCCGAUGAAGGACGGGACGAACACCGAUAUGCUUCGGGGAGAUGUAAGCAAGCUUUGAUCCGGAGAUUUCCGAAUGGGGAAACCCACUGCUCGUAAUGGAGUAGUAUCCAUACUUGAAUACAUAGAGUAUGAGAAGGCAUACCCGGGGAACUGAAACAUCUAAGUACCCGGAGGAAGAGAAAGCAAAUGCGAUUCCCUGAGUAGCGGCGAGCGAAACGGGAACAGCCCAAACCAAGAGGCUUGCCUCUUGGGGUUGUAGGACACUCUAUACGGAGUUACAAAGGAACGAUAUAAGCGAAGAGGUCUGGAAAGGCCCGCCAAAGAAGGUAACAGCCCUGUAACUGAAAUGUUGUUCUCUCCAGAGUGGAUCCUGAGUACGGCGGAACACGUGAAAUUCCGUCGGAAUCCGGGAGGACCAUCUCCCAAGGCUAAAUACUCCCUAGUGACCGAUAGUGAACCAGUACCGUGAGGGAAAGGUGAAAAGCACCCCGGAAGGGGAGUGAAAUAGAUCCUGAAACCGUGUGCCUACAAGUAGUCAGAGCCCGUUAAAGGGUGAUGGCGUGCCUUUUGUAGAAUGAACCGGCGAGUUACGAUCCCGUGCAAGGUUAAGCAGAAGAUGCGGAGCCGCAGCGAAAGCGAGUCUGAAUAGGCCGCAUGAGUACGUGGUCGUAGACCCGAAACCAGGUGAUCUACCCAUGUCCAGGGUGAAGUUCAGGUAACACUGAAUGGAGGCCCGAACCCACGCACGUUGAAAAGUGCGGGGAUGAGGUGUGGGUAGGGGUGAAAUGCCAAUCGAACCUGGAGAUAGCUGGUUCUCUCCGAAAUAGCUUUAGGGCUAGCCUCAAGGUAAGAGUCUCGGAGGUAGAGCACUGAUUGGACUAGGGGCCCCUACCGGGUUACCGAAUUCAGUCAAACUCCGAAUGCCGAUGACUUAUCCUUGGGAGUCAGACUGCGAGUGAUAAGAUCCGUAGUCGAAAGGGAAACAGCCCAGACCGCCAGCUAAGGUCCCAAAGUAUACGUUAAGUGGAAAAGGAUGUGGAGUUGCUUAGACAACCAGGAUGUUGGCUUAGAAGCAGCCACCAUUUAAAGAGUGCGUAAUAGCUCACUGGUCGAGUGACUCUGCGCCGAAAAUGUACCGGGGCUAAACGUAUCACCGAAGCUGCGGACUGUUCUAACGAACAGUGGUAGGAGAGCGUUCUAAGUGCUGUGAAGUCAGACCGGAAGGACUGGUGGAGCGCUUAGAAGUGAGAAUGCCGGUAUGAGUAGCGAAAGACGGGUGAGAAUCCCGUCCACCGAAUGCCUAAGGUUUCCUGAGGAAGGCUCGUCCGCUCAGGGUUAGUCGGGACCUAAGCCGAGGCCGAAAGGCGUAGGCGAUGGACAACAGGUUGAUAUUCCUGUACCACCUCCUCACCAUUUGAGCAAUGGGGGGACGCAGGAGGAUAGGGUAAGCGCGGUAUUGGAUAUCCGCGUCCAAGCAGUUAGGCUGGGAAAUAGGCAAAUCCGUUUCCCGUGAAGGCUGAGCUGUGAUGGCGAGCGAAAUUUAGUAGCGAAGUUCCUGAUUCCACACUGCCAAGAAAAGCCUCUAGCGUGGUGAGAGGUGCCCGUACCGCAAACCGACACAGGUAGGCGAGGAGAGAAUCCUAAGGUGAUCGAGAGAACUCUCGUUAAGGAACUCGGCAAAAUGACCCCGUAACUUCGGGAGAAGGGGUGCUUCUUAGGGUGUUAAAGCCCCGAGAAGCCGCAGUGAAUAGGCCCAGGCGACUGUUUAGCAAAAACACAGGUCUCUGCGAAGCCGUAAGGCGAAGUAUAGGGGCUGACGCCUGCCCGGUGCUGGAAGGUUAAGAGGAGCGCUUAGCGUAAGCGAAGGUGCGAAUUGAAGCCCCAGUAAACGGCGGCCGUAACUAUAACGGUCCUAAGGUAGCGAAAUUCCUUGUCGGGUAAGUUCCGACCCGCACGAAAGGCGCAACGAUCUGGGCACUGUCUCAACGAGAGACUCGGUGAAAUUAUAGUACCUGUGAAGAUGCAGGUUACCCGCGACAGGACGGAAAGACCCCGUGGAGCUUUACUGCAGCCUGAUAUUGAAUGUUGGUACAGCUUGUACAGGAUAGGUAGGAGCCUUGGAAACCGGAGCGCUAGCUUCGGUGGAGGCAUCGGUGGGAUACUACCCUGGCUGUAUUGACCUUCUAACCCGCUGCCCUUAUCGGGCAGGGAGCCAGUGUCAGGUGGGCAGUUUGACUGGGGCGGUCGCCUCCUAAAAUGUAACGGAGGCGCCCAAAGGUUCCCUCAGAAUGGUUGGAAAUCAUUCGCAGAGUGUAAAGGCACAAGGGAGCUUGACUGCGAGACCUACAAGUCGAGCAGGGACGAAAGUCGGGCUUAGUGAUCCGGUGGUUCCGCAUGGAAGGGCCAUCGCUCAACGGAUAAAAGCUACCCCGGGGAUAACAGGCUUAUCUCCCCCAAGAGUCCACAUCGACGGGGAGGUUUGGCACCUCGAUGUCGGCUCAUCGCAUCCUGGGGCUGUAGUCGGUCCCAAGGGUUGGGCUGUUCGCCCAUUAAAGCGGUACGCGAGCUGGGUUCAGAACGUCGUGAGACAGUUCGGUCCCUAUCCGUCGCGGGCGCAGGAAAUUUGAGAGGAGCUGUCCUUAGUACGAGAGGACCGGGAUGGACGCACCGCUCGUGUCCCAGUUGUUCUGCCAAGGGCAUCGCUGGGUAGCUAUGGCGGGACGGAAUAGUGCUGAAAAGCAUUUAAGCAAGAAGCCCCCCUCAAGAGAAGAUUCCCCAUUCCGCAAGGAAGUAAGAUCCCUGAAAGAUGAUCAGGUUGAUAGGUCUGAGGUGGAAGCGUGGUGACACGUGGAGCUGACAGAUACUAAUAGAUCGAGGACUUAACCUAUA